Molecule: long non-coding RNA, 979 nt
Filed under: Salmo salar (Atlantic salmon)
Lineage: Eukaryota; Metazoa; Chordata; Actinopteri; Salmoniformes; Salmonidae
Description: lncRNA (ENSSSAG00000118521.1)
Source: RNAcentral
GUGUAGGCCUCGGGGUGUCUUCCACCAGACUGCUGGUCUGUGGGACUGCUCUGGUUCAGUUCCCCCAGUGAUAGUGACACAGGCAUGGAGAGUCCAGCUUGUGUUUCCCUGUAGCUGGGUCUGGUGUUACUGGGCCUGGGUAGAGGUGGAGGAUAGGAUUGUUACUGGGCCUGGGUAGAGGUGGAGGAUAGGAUUGUUACUGGGCCUGGGUAGAGGUGGAGGAUAGGAUUGUUACUGGGCCUGGGUAGAGGUGGAGGAUAGGAUUGUAGCUGGGUCUGGGUAGAGGUGGAGGAUAGGAUUGUUACUGGGCCUGGGUAGAGGUGGAGGAUAGGAUUGUAACUGGGUCUGGUGUUACUGGGCCUGGGUAGAGGUGGAGGAUAGGAUUGUAGCUGGGUCUGGUGUUACUGGGCCUGGGUAGAGGUGGAGGAUAGGAUUGUAACUGGGUCUGGUGUUACUGGGCCUGGGUAGAGGUGGAAGAUAGGAUUGUAGCUGGUUCUGGUGUUACUGGGCCUGGGUAGAGGUGGAGGAUAGGAUUGUAGCUGGGUCUGGUGUUACUGGGCCUGGGUAGAGGUGGAGGAUAGGAUGGUAAACAGAGGCCUGACUUGGCAGACAUGUUUAUGUCUGUGUUGCCAUCUGUGACUGUGUGUGUUCUGUGUGUGUUUGUGUGUUCUGUGUGUGUGUUUGUUCUGUGUGUGUGUGUGUGUGUGUUCUCUGUAGUUUGGCCACAUCCCUGUGUCUCCGGUGUGUUUCCAUGUCUGGACUUCCGAUUGGAGCACUCACUCACUCACUCACUCACUCACUCACUCACUCACUCACUCACUCACUCACUCACUCACUCACUCACUCACUCACUCACUCACUCACUCACUCACUCACUCACUCCCUCUACUCUAUAUUCUCUCUCCCUCUACUCUAUAUUCUCUCUCUCUAAAUUUACCCCCCCCACACACUAAUGGUCAAAGCAUGUUGUGACCAUCUG